CGUGCAUUCUGGGAGAUUGUUCUUCCUCCAGGGCACGCUUGACUGUUCUAAGAAUAACUGAGUCCUCUGACUAGUGAAUUAGUUCAUAAACAUGUGAGCAAUCCAAUGCUGGCCAAAGAGAUGCAGGGUGUUGCUAGAGACUUCUAGGAUUAAGAAUGGCACAUUCCAAGGGGCUUAUGGGAAAUUUUAACGCAUCUGUAUCUGUAAAUACGUGGGCGGUUAAGGAGAAGCAACAAGGCGCACCGAACAUUUUUGAGGACAGAGAGAACAGCAGCCAUCAUGGCGCCUGCACUGGAAAAGCGAGGGAAUGCUACGGUGCCAAGGAAAGGCCACAUGAGCACACGAUGGGAAGGAGUCCAUCUAUACACCAGGAAGAGAGCCCCACCAGGGACUGAAUUGGCUAGCGCCUUGAUCUGGAACUUCCCAGCCAUAGGAACUGUGAGAAAAUACAUUUCGGUUGUCCAAGUCCAUCCCACCCCCGCCCAGUGGUGUUUCAUUAUGACAGUCUGAGCAGACUCAUAUCUCCAUAUUUCCCUGCUUCUGGUUUUUCUCCUACUGGUAACAAUUUUAGAUGGAUUAAACUGUUUCUU
Molecule: long non-coding RNA, 590 nt
Organism: Bubalus bubalis (water buffalo)
Lineage: Eukaryota; Metazoa; Chordata; Mammalia; Artiodactyla; Bovidae
Exons: 3
Source: RefSeq, a predicted model, not a curated record